Molecule: long non-coding RNA, 2862 nt
Organism: Leopardus geoffroyi (Geoffroy's cat)
Lineage: Eukaryota; Metazoa; Chordata; Mammalia; Carnivora; Felidae
Exons: 3
Source: RefSeq, a predicted model, not a curated record
AUUGAUGUUAUUGAUACAAUCCCCGGUAGCAUCCAUCUCCAGAACUCUCUUCAUCUCGUGGAGCUGAAACUCUGAGUCCCCGGUGCCCUCCCUGCGGCCCCGGCCACCACCAUUCGACUGCCUCUAAGAAUCGGACUACCCAAGGCCCCGCACAAACAGAGUCAUACAGGGUUUGUCCUGUUGUGACUGGCUUAUUUCACCAGCAUAAUGUCCUCAGGGUUCGUCCACGUUGUAGUUCGUGUCAGACUUGCCUUCCUUUUUUUUAAGGCUGAAGAAUAUUCCAUUGUAUGUAGAGAGCACAUUUGUUUAUCUCUCCAUCCAUCUGUGGAUGCCUGCUUUGCUGCGGCCCCUUGGCUUUUACUGGCUGGCAGUGACAAAAUCCAAAAUGAAUUUCUUGGAGGCAUUUGGGGACAAUGAGAACACAGGCACAGUACCCUGUGAACCCGGCGGCAGCGGCUGAAUCUAUACGAUUUGUGCACAAGUGGAUAAUGCCCACCUUGCUUCUGCGAAACUGGCUCCUGAUUGCCAGACUUUUGCCACACCCCCCCACCCCGAAUCAGAGAAAUGAAGGUGGAUGAAUAGUGGUUGUAAAUUAAAUGAACAGUCCCCGCUACGGGGAAAACCCAGACGGCUGCUUGGUUCUUCCUGACUCCCUGGCAAACCCCACUGUUUGGUUUCUACAUUCCUUCACCCGCCAUAGGGCACUUAAGACCAUUCCAAUGAUAAACAGACAUUGGUGGGGAGACUGCCGUAAUAUUGCAAAAACAGUCGGUCAGCCACGUCUGUCUCGUCAGGUCCAUAAUGCUGGAAAAACUGAUUUUGACGUCCUCCUUACGGACGUUUGUACACCCGCAGCUGAACUUUCUUCAGUUGUCACUUGGUACGGGUUACCUAUAUGUCCCCAUUUUUGUCUGCAUCGUUGCUGGAAGGGUUGAAGCUUCUCCCUGGUUGAAAAAAAAACAAAACACAAACAAAAACAAAAAACAAAAAAAAAACCGUGGAAAAAAAAUUUCUAUUAGAAAAUAUGUUUUCCGCUUGGAGUAUACCUUCUAUGGUGUCCAGGGAUCAGGACAUCCACCUCACCGGGCAAGUCAUACACACUUGAAUGAAAACCUUGCAAACUUCUUGGAAUUCUUGUCUCGUGCUAGUAUGACCAGCCACCGUCAAUCUCUAACGUCUUAUGCUCAAGCCUGUCACCGUCAGGUUAAAGAAGCCUUUCUGAUCUCAAUUCAAAGGAUUCUGUUGGUCAUCGCUUAGAGCUUUGUAAUUAGGUAUGCUGGAAAUGUCAUCAAAGGAAGACAGCCCUCGAACCCCACCGGAAGGAACCUUUGCAAGCAUUCCUGACCACCGAUACUGCUGCAAAAACUGGAAGGUAUUGGGCUUUGGGUCCAGCUCACACAGCUGAAGAAAGCUUCACGCAACACCUAACACCUGGUUCUGUGCAGACGCUAGAGGCCCCCAAGCCAAAACUGACCUGGAAGAGAAGUAGCUGACAUCAAGGUAGACUGCCCAAGACUACAGAUCAAGACUUCGUACUUUCGAGCAACAUGAAACCCUUCCUCCUGUGUGUCCUUUCCUUUAAUCUGGCAUUGUCCUGGAAAGAUAACACCCUCACCUCUCUCUCUCCCAGGCCAUCGCUAACGAGGAAUAACCUCUGGAAUUUAGAACGGCUUUUUAUUUCAGCCUGUAGGAAAAAAGCAAAACAAGACCCCUCAUUGGUUGACUCUCCAUCAUUGAUACUGUUGAGUUAGAAGGGACCCUCCAGGGGCUUUCAUGAUUCAGGAUUCACUCCUUUUGGCAGAUCCCUACUUCUUUGCCCAGGGAUAAAUAUAAAUGAGGCUAUGAUCAGAAACUCCUCUUUAAUUCUUGAAAUUAUUGCAGAACCCACUACCAAAGCGAUAGCUGCCCAGCUAAGACCCUGAGACUCUCUGGCCAAAGAUGCUCUUGAUAAUUGAAUAGCCCUCGAUUACCUUUUUAGCUGGACAAGGAGGUAUCCGCUAUACCCCACACCGUUUGCUACGGCCUGGCUUAACCCUUCUGGGGAAAUCGAAAGUCUAUUAAUAAGACCACAGAGCAAACCACUUGGCCUAAAAGAGUGACUCCUUCAGCAGGGUCUUUCUUUGACUUAUUUGAUUCUGUUUGGUUUGGGUCUUGGGGACCAUGGCUCUGAAGUGCACUCCAAACAUUGGGAAUUAUCCUGCUUACAGUGAUCAUAGUAAUCCCCCUGGUGCAUUACAUACUCUCAAAGCUUUAAAUGCAUGUUCACAGCUGCUGACCACUAAGCAAAUUCUCUAAGGCUGGAGUGUCAGAAAAGGAACAAAGAGGACAGCCGACUGAAAAAUUAUGAACCUAAGGUUGCGACCUGUGAAUAUCACAGAGAUUAAGCAAAAAAACGUCAUGACCUGUGAAUACCACACAAAAGUUGACCAAAAAUGCAGCUGAGAGUGGCUCUAAUGCCUUGAAUCUUGAUUAUAUCUCUCGGUUAAGCUGCAAGUCUGAAUCAAGGGGGUAAUUGUUAAAAAGAAAACCGCGGGCCCCAAAUGGCAUCACUUAGGUUAAAGCCCCAAGCCAGCAACACCUAACCUGACUACAGUUAGCUCAACACCUAACCUGACUACAGUUUCAACCCCCUGAAAUGUAACAUUUAACAGUCCACGUGGAUUUCCUGGUCAGCACUAGGAAGUUUACUGACAGACCCCACCUAAAAUAAUGGUUUCUUUGCUAAUAAUUUCCUUUUGUUCCUGGUCCCUCUUCAUAUUUAAGAACCUUCCUUUUCUGUAGCCCUCUGGAGCUCCCCUUAACUUGCGAGCUGGGACGCUGCCCGUUUCAUGAAUCCACUAAUAAAGACGGUUAGAUCUUUAA